Paramisgurnus dabryanus is the source of this 407-nucleotide non-coding RNA. The record is from RefSeq and is a predicted model, not a curated record. NCBI's taxonomy places the organism in Eukaryota, Metazoa, Chordata, Actinopteri, Cypriniformes, Cobitidae.
CUGUUGCAUACAUAAUAACGAGCAGGGAGACCCAAGAAACCCUUAAGCUUGCACUUCAGAGGCUACGACCUGUGUUCCCUAAGCCGCCAAGGUGCUUCAUGGUUGACAAAGACAUGAGUGAAAUUAAUGCUUUGAAUGAAGUUUUCCCUGAAUCUGAUGUUCUUCUCUGCUGGUACCAUGUACUUCAGGCUGUCGUUCGGUGGUUGAUGAAGACCGAAUCUGGUGUUACUGGGCCACACUUCUCAAAUACCCGGAGAGAAAUUCUAGAUUUCUUUAAAAAAAUGAAAGCUUGUGCAACGAAGACUGACUUUGAAAGGGUUGCAAAAAAAUUUCUUAGCAACUUUUCUCACUACCAAGAGGUUUGCAAGUACUUCCAGAGGUACUGGGAACCAAUAAGUCAAAGAUGG